UGAACAAAUCUGAGAGGCCAAAGCAUAGGCACUCCCGAUCCAGAUCUGCUGAAGGAAGGUAUAACCAUGAUGAUAAAGAUGCGAGAAAAACUGAGAAACCAAGACAUAGGCACUCCAGAUCUAGAUCUGCAGAACGGCGACAUAAUCCUGAUGAUAAAGCUGUGAAAAAAUCCGAGAAGCCAAAGCGAAGGCACUCCAGAUCUAGAUCUGCUGAAGGAAGGCUUAACCAUGAUGAUAAAGAAGUGAAGAAAUCUGAAAAGACAAGACAUAGGCA
RNAcentral lists this unclassified non-coding RNA (274 nucleotides) under Hevea brasiliensis (rubber tree). The record is from RNAcentral. Lineage: Eukaryota; Viridiplantae; Streptophyta; Magnoliopsida; Malpighiales; Euphorbiaceae.